GGGUUGUGAGGUUAAGCGACUAAGCGUACACGGUGGAUGCCCUGGCAGUCAGAGGCGAUGAAGGGCGUGCUAAUCUGCGAUAAGCGCCGGUAAGGUGAUAUGAACCGUUAUAACCGGCGAUACCCGAAUGGGGAAACCCAGUGUGAUUCGUCACACUAUCAUUAACUGAAUCCAUAGGUUAAUGAGGCGAACCGGGGGAACUGAAACAUCUAAGUACCCCGAGGAAAAGAAAUCAACCGAGAUUCCCCCAGUAGCGGCGAGCGAACGGGGAGGAGCCCAGAGCCUGAAUCAGCAUGUGUGUUAGUGGAAGCGUCUGGAAAGGCGCGCGAUACAGGGUGACAGCCCCGUACACAAAAGCGCAUGUGCUGUGAGCUCGAUGAGUAGGGCGGGACACGUGAUAUCCUGUCUGAAUAUGGGGGGACCAUCCUCCAAGGCUAAAUACUCCUGACUGACCGAUAGUGAACCAGUACCGUGAGGGAAAGGCGAAAAGAACCCCGGCGAGGGGAGUGAAAAAGAACCUGAAACCGUGUACGUACAAGCAGUGGGAGCACCCUUUUGGGUGUGACUGCGUACCUUUUGUAUAAUGGGUCAGCGACUUAUAUUCUGUAGCAAGGUUAACCGUAUAGGGGAGCCGAAGGGAAACCGAGUCUUAACCGGGCGUUAAGUUGCAGGGUAUAGACCCGAAACCCGGUGAUCUAGCCAUGGGCAGGUUGAAGGUUGGGUAACACUAACUGGAGGACCGAACCGACUAAUGUUGAAAAAUUAGCGGAUGACCUGUGGCUGGGGGUGAAAGGCCAAUCAAACCGGGAGAUAGCUGGUUCUCCCCGAAAGCUAUUUAGGUAGCGCCUCGUGAAUUCAUCUCCGGGGGUAGAGCACUGUUUCGGCUAGGGGGCCAUCCCGGCUUACCAACCCGAUGCAAACUGCGAAUACCGGAGAAUGUUAUCACGGGAGACACACGGCGGGUGCUAACGUCCGUCGUGAAGAGGGAAACAACCCAGACCGCCAGCUAAGGUCCCAAAGUCAUGGUUAAGUGGGAAACGAUGUGGGAAGGCCCAGACAGCCAGGAUGUUGGCUUAGAAGCAGCCAUCAUUUAAAGAAAGCGUAAUAGCUCACUGGUCGAGUCGGCCUGCGCGGAAGAUGUAACGGGGCUAAACCAUGCACCGAAGCUGCGGCAGCGA
This 1178-nucleotide ribosomal RNA is filed under the name Salmonella enterica. Its description in RNAcentral is "bacterial LSU rRNA". It matches the Rfam family "Bacterial large subunit ribosomal RNA", at positions 1 to 1211 of the family's 2925-position model. The record is from RNAcentral. Lineage: Bacteria; Pseudomonadati; Pseudomonadota; Gammaproteobacteria; Enterobacterales; Enterobacteriaceae.